Hirundo rustica (Barn swallow) is the source of this 554-nucleotide long non-coding RNA. RefSeq lists it as uncharacterized. The record is from RefSeq and is a predicted model, not a curated record. NCBI's taxonomy places the organism in Eukaryota, Metazoa, Chordata, Aves, Passeriformes, Hirundinidae. The transcript is spliced from 3 exons.
UGUGCCAGGGAUAGAAAAGGUAAGGUAUUGUACAUGGGUCAGACAGGGUGAGGCUGCUGUGCCAGGAACUCAGCGAGCUGGAACUGCAGAAGAAAGAGAAAAAGAACCAGAGCUGUGUAGGGUUCUUCACAGGACUGCAGCUUAGCAAAGGCACUGAACUCCAGCAGUUUUGCUGUAAGAACUUCAUGGGAUCUGUGUUAGAACUGUGCUGCACAAAGACUGCUUCUGCUGAUAGAAGAAAAUAACGUACUCCUAUGGCUACUUUGAGAAUCAUAAUGGGCUUCAAUGCGUGUUGGAAUCUCUGAAUAAAAGAAAAGGUGCCUGUGCUACUGGUGCACCAUAACACAUCUAUUUAAGAGCUGGGUUUUACUCUGGUCCUCUGUGCUGGGGUAAUUUUUGCCUGAGUAGAGAAAAAAAAGUUUUUGAUAGGUGAUACAAAGAACUGACUGAAAAUUGGAGCUUUCAUAUACUUGGAGACCACACUCUGAUAUGGAAAUUGGAAUAUGAAUUGAUGAGUGUUAGGAACAGAAAUACCCAAGUUACAGAACUUAAAG